RNAcentral lists this ribosomal RNA (497 nucleotides) under uncultured bacterium. Its description in RNAcentral is "partial 16S ribosomal RNA". It matches the Rfam family "Bacterial small subunit ribosomal RNA", at positions 28 to 507 of the family's 1533-position model. The record is from RNAcentral.
GAUGAUCGCUGGCGGCGUGCCUAAUAUAUGCAAGUCGAGCGAACUGACGAGAAGCUUGCUUUUCUGAUGUUAGCGGCGGACGGGUGAGUAACACGUGGAUAACCUACCUAUAAGACUGGGAUAACUUCGGGAAACCGGAGCUACUACCGGAUAAUAUUUUGAACCGCAUGGUUCAAAAGUGAAAGACGGUCUUGCUGUCACUUAUAGAUGGAUCCGCGCUGCAUUAGCUAGUUGGUAAGGUAACGGCUUACCAAGGCAACGAUGCAUAGCCGACCUGAGAGGGUGAUCGGCCACACUGGAACUGAGACACGGUCCAGACUCCUACGGGAGGCAGCAGUAGGGAAUCUUCCGCAAUGGGCGAAAGCCUGACGGAGCAACGCCGCGUGAGUGAUGAAGGUCUUCGGAUCGUAAAACUCUGUUAUUAGGGAAGAACAUAUGUGUAAGUAACUGUGCACAUCUUGACGGUACCUAAUCAGAAAGCCACGGCUAACUACGUG